This 427-nucleotide ribosomal RNA is filed under the name uncultured eukaryote. RNAcentral describes it as "SSU rRNA". It matches the Rfam family "Eukaryotic small subunit ribosomal RNA", at positions 587 to 972 of the family's 1831-position model. The record is from RNAcentral.
AGCUCCAAUAGCGUAUAUUAAAGUUGUUGCGGUUAAAAAGCUCGUAGUCGAAUUUGUGUCCCGCGCCGCUGGUUCAUCGUUCGCGGUGUCUAACUGGCGUGUUCGCGGGACGUCCUGCCGGUGAGCUUUGCUCGCAAGGGCGGCUCAACUUGAAAUCCCAUCGCGGUGCUCUUCAUUGAGUGUCGAGGUGGGCCGGCACGUUUACUUUGAACAAAUUAGAGUGCUUAAAGCAGGCUAAAAUUUUGCCUGAAUAUUGUGUGCAUGGAAUAAUGAAAUAGGACCUCGGUUCUAUUUUGUUGGUUUUAAGAACCCCGAGGUAAUGAUUAAUAGGAACGGAUGGGGGCAUUCGUAUUGCGACGUUAGAGGUGAAAUUCUUGGAUCGUCGCAAGACGGACAGAAGCGAAAGCAUUUGCCAAAAACGCUUUCA